This is a long non-coding RNA of Olea europaea var. sylvestris, 227 nucleotides long. RefSeq lists it as uncharacterized. Lineage: Eukaryota; Viridiplantae; Streptophyta; Magnoliopsida; Lamiales; Oleaceae. The transcript is spliced from 3 exons. The record is from RefSeq and is a predicted model, not a curated record.
UCAACUACACACCCACUUUGUUAGACUAGAUCAUGGGGGUGAUAUAUUUAUACAUGUAUAUCAAGAGAAGCCAUAUGCAUAAGUACAUGGUUGUAGCGAGUAAAAAGUGAUGGAACCAGGAACAAGAAGACUUUGGAGCGUGAUUUCUUUGGUUUUGUCUUUUAAAAAAAUUAAAAUGACCUAACAAGUACAAUGAUAUGAUAUGAUACGAGCUCUUACCGGAUUUA